UACGUAGGGUGCGAGCGUUGUCCGGAUUUACUGGGCGUAAAGAGCGCGCAGGCGGUCGUUCAAGUCGCGUGUGAAAGCCCCCCGGCUCAACUGGGGAGGGUCACGCGAUACUGAUCGACUCGAAGGCAGGAGAGGGUAGUGGAAUUCCCGGUGUAGUGGUGAAAUGCGUAGAUAUCGGGAGGAACACCAGUGGCGAAGGCGACUACCUGGACGGACAUUGACGCUGAGACGCGAAAGCGUGGGGAGCAACAGGG
This 254-nucleotide ribosomal RNA is filed under the name uncultured bacterium. Its description in RNAcentral is "partial 16S ribosomal RNA". It matches the Rfam family "Bacterial small subunit ribosomal RNA", at positions 524 to 776 of the family's 1533-position model. The record is from RNAcentral.